This 640-nucleotide ribosomal RNA is filed under the name Pseudoalteromonas sp. RNAcentral's name for it is "bacterial SSU rRNA". It matches the Rfam family "Bacterial small subunit ribosomal RNA", at positions 64 to 699 of the family's 1533-position model. Lineage: Bacteria; Pseudomonadati; Pseudomonadota; Gammaproteobacteria; Alteromonadales; Pseudoalteromonadaceae. The record is from RNAcentral.
GAACGAAGAGGAGCUUGCUCCUUUGGCGUCGAGCGGCGGACGGGUGAGUAAUGCUUGGGAAUGUGCCUUAUGGUGGGGGACAACAGUUGGAAACGACUGCUAAUACCGCAUAAUGUCUUCGGACCAAAGUGGGGGACCUUCGGGCCUCACGCCAUAAGAUCAGCCCAAGUGGGAUUAGCUAGUUGGUAAGGUAAUGGCUUACCAAGGCGACGAUCCCUAGCUGGUUUGAGAGGAUGAUCAGCCACACUGGGACUGAGACACGGCCCAGACUCCUACGGGAGGCAGCAGUGGGGAAUAUUGCACAAUGGGCGCAAGCCUGAUGCAGCCAUGCCGCGUGUGUGAAGAAGGCCUUCGGGUUGUAAAGCACUUUCAGUAAGGAGGAAAGGUUAAGUGUUAAUAGCACUUAGCUGUGACGUUACUUACAGAAGAAGCACCGGCUAACUCCGUGCCAGCAGCCGCGGUAAUACGGAGGGUGCGAGCGUUAAUCGGAAUUACUGGGCGUAAAGCGUACGCAGGCGGUUUGUUAAGCGAGAUGUGAAAGCCCCGGGCUCAACCUGGGAACUGCAUUUCGAACUGGCAAACUAGAGUGUGAUAGAGGGUGGUAGAAUUUCAGGUGUAGCGGUGAAAUGCGUAGAGAUCU